Microcebus murinus (gray mouse lemur) is the source of this 1330-nucleotide long non-coding RNA. RefSeq lists it as uncharacterized. Lineage: Eukaryota; Metazoa; Chordata; Mammalia; Primates; Cheirogaleidae. The record is from RefSeq and is a predicted model, not a curated record.
CCCUGCCACCUGGCGGAGCCCUGGCCGGGCUGCUCACCGCGCGUCCAGUCUGGUGCUUCUCCUGUCCUCCCCGGCAGGGCAGGCCUAGCUGCUCCUCCACUGAGGUUGGCUCUGGAUAGAGCCACCCCCGAGCCUGGACGCACAGGAAUGGUUUUUGUUUCUUUAAUGAGAGAGACAGUGUUGACGCGAGCUGGGUGAAUGGCGAGUCACGAAACUUCCGGAGCCUCGCAUUUGGGACACUGCAUCCUUCCUACCGAUGGGAGCCGCCUUGUCUUCUGAUAGUACUGGGAAGGCGUCGCAUGCAGGCGGAUUUUGUCUUCCAGGAUUAUAAUGGCUCCCACCUCAUCACUCUCCCUGGUACGCCAGCUUGUUGCUAGGUUACCUAAGGCUGCAGAGGCCCAGUCUUGGGAUGUGCCACAGUUUGUCUUGCCUCAUCCUGAGUUGCAAGAGGGAAGAAUGUACACCUCAACCAAACAGGGCUCUAGCAGAGAUCAAGAACACUCAUAAAUAUACCUCCAGAAAAUUUCAAAAACCAAAGUUUACAGGUGGAUGAAGAAUCACAAAAGGAACCCACCCAUGUAACCCUCAGACCUGGAGGAAGAGGGCCGCACCAAGAAUGUCAUCUUUGCUGCUUUAGGAUAUAUGGUUUAUGUUUCUUAUAUGGUAACUUGGUGAAGUGAAAGAACAAAAAAAAAAGUGGAAAAUACCACUAGACUUAUCUUUAAUUUAAUUGGCAAUUAAGGCGAGUGUGUGUAUUCCAUAAGAGCAGCCAUUCUGGUUCUGAAGCAAAGAGCUUUUUUCAAAUGAGUUAAGCCUGAGAUCCUCUAUCUCUAUAAAGAUCUACUUCACUCUGGUAUUGUUGACAACAUUUCUCAUUAUUUCCCCUUGCUCAUAUGGUUAGGUAGAUAGAAAGGGAUCUCUGGCUAGCCUAGGGGCAAAGGCAGGUGCAUCACCUUGAUGCUACCUUGAGCAAUUGCCACACCUGGGGAAAAAGGAAAGGGCAGGCACCCCACCUUGGUGCUGCCUUACCUUGAUCUUGCCCCAAGUAACAGCCACACCUGGGGGAAGUAGGAAGACCUGACCAAUGUGCAAAAGAUGUAGGGAAUUCUUCAGGUACAAUAGGAUCUGGAAAGUGACCUAGAGUAACCUAAGGCUAAUUAUCAUUCUAUUAACUGUCCAUUAGACUGGUUCCAUAGUGAUAUCUGGACCACGAGGAGGGCUCAAUGUGGACAUUAUAAAACGGGACCCCAGACUAUAGCCAGAGCUUCUUGUCACAACAGGGGGCCCAUUUGUCGUUUGUGGUGAACAUAUCUUGCUCUUGCUCUAUAAA